RNAcentral lists this ribosomal RNA (255 nucleotides) under uncultured bacterium. Its description in RNAcentral is "partial 16S ribosomal RNA". It matches the Rfam family "Bacterial small subunit ribosomal RNA", at positions 524 to 776 of the family's 1533-position model. The record is from RNAcentral.
UACAGAGGUCUCGAGCGUUGUUCGGAUUCAUUGGGCGUAAAGGGUGCGUAGGUGGCGUGGUAAGUCUGGUGUGAAAUCCCGGGGCUCAACCCCCGGAACUGCACUGGAUACUGCCAUGCUUGAGUACUGGAGAGGAGAUUGGAAUUUACGGUGUAGCAGUGAAAUGCGUAGAUAUCGUAAGGAAGACCAGUGGCGAAGGCGGCCAUCUGGGACAACACUGACGCUGAAGCACGAAAGCGUGGGGGAGCAAACAGG